RNAcentral lists this ribosomal RNA (817 nucleotides) under Vibrio hepatarius. RNAcentral describes it as "bacterial SSU rRNA". It matches the Rfam family "Bacterial small subunit ribosomal RNA", at positions 64 to 870 of the family's 1533-position model. Lineage: Bacteria; Pseudomonadati; Pseudomonadota; Gammaproteobacteria; Vibrionales; Vibrionaceae. The record is from RNAcentral.
GAGUUAACUGAACCUUCGGGGGACGUUAACGGCGUCGAGCGGCGGACGGGUGAGUAAUGCCUAGGAAAUUGCCCUGAUGUGGGGGAUAACCAUUGGAAACGAUGGCUAAUACCGCAUAAUCUCUUCGGAGCAAAGAGGGGGACCUUCGGGCCUCUCGCGUCAGGAUAUGCCUAGGUGGGAUUAGCUAGUUGGUGAGGUAAUGGCUCACCAAGGCGACGAUCCCUAGCUGGUCUGAGAGGAUGAUCAGCCACACUGGAACUGAGACACGGUCCAGACUCCUACGGGAGGCAGCAGUGGGGAAUAUUGCACAAUGGGCGCAAGCCUGAUGCAGCCAUGCCGCGUGUAUGAAGAAGGCCUUCGGGUUGUAAAGUACUUUCAGCAGUGAGGAAGGUUCAUGCGUUAAUAGCGUAUGGAUUUGACGUUAGCUGCAGAAGAAGCACCGGCUAACUCCGUGCCAGCAGCCGCGGUAAUACGGAGGGUGCGAGCGUUAAUCGGAAUUACUGGGCGUAAAGCGCAUGCAGGUGGUUUGUUAAGUCAGAUGUGAAAGCCCGGGGCUCAACCUCGGAAUUGCAUUUGAAACUGGCAGACUAGAGUACUGUAGAGGGGGGUAGAAUUUCAGGUGUAGCGGUGAAAUGCGUAGAGAUCUGAAGGAAUACCGGUGGCGAAAGCGGCCCCCUGGACAGAUACUGACACUCAGAUGCGAAAGCGUGGGGAGCACACACGAUUACAUACCCUGGUAGUCCACGCCCUAAACAAUGUCUACUUGGAGGUUGUUGCCUUCACCCGUGGCUUUCCCAGCUAACGCGCUUAUUAGACC